This 468-nucleotide ribosomal RNA is filed under the name uncultured bacterium. RNAcentral describes it as "partial 16S ribosomal RNA". It matches the Rfam family "Bacterial small subunit ribosomal RNA", at positions 28 to 507 of the family's 1533-position model. The record is from RNAcentral.
GACGAACGCUGGCGGCGUGCUUAACACAUGCAAGUCGAACGGAAAGGCCCUGCUUUUGUGGGGUGCUCGAGUGGCGAACGGGUGAGUAACACGUGAGUAACCUGCCCUUGACUUUGGGAUAACUUCAGGAAACUGGGGCUAAUACCGGAUAGGAGCUCCUGCUGCAUGGUGGGGGUUGGAAAGUUUCGGCGGUUGGUGAUGGACUCGCGGCUUAUCAGCUUGCUGGUGGGGUAGUGGCUUACCAAGGCUUUGACGGGUAGCCGGCCUGAGAGGGUGACCGGCCACAUUGGGACUGAGGUAGGGCCCAGACUCCUACGGGAGGCAGCAGUGGGGAAUAUUGCACAAUGGGCGGAAGCCUGAUGCAGCAACGCCGCGUGCGGGAUGACGGCCUUCGGGUUGUAAUCCGCUUUCGCCUGUGACGAAGCUUGAGUGACGGUAAUGGGUAAAGAAGCACCGGCUAACUACGUG